CUCCAAGGUAAUAACUAUAAUAUAACUCCAAAAUGUCUUAUUUAUCAUGUCUUAAUGAUGCUACAACCCGAUACACAAAAUUGAGAAUGAAAAUGGGGAAUGUGUCAAAGAGACAAUAAUCUCACCGUAGAAAAAAACAGCAGAAGGUUAGAAACAGGUCUUCAACGUAGAGACAAAUUCCCGCACCAGGAGGCGUCCUUCAUCUGGCUAGUUCAGUGAUAAUGAACGCCAUACUAAUUUCCAAAUUGUACACAAGAAAUUGAAAUUAAAAUAAUACAAGACUAACAAAGGCCAGAGGCUCCUGACUUGGGACAGGCGCAAAAAUGCGGCGGGGUUAAACAUGUUUGUGAGAUCUUAACCCUCCCCCUACACCUCAAGCCAAUGUAGAAAAGUAAACCCAUAAAAAUAUGCACAUUAAAAUUCAGUUCAAGAGAAGUCCGAGUCUGAUGUCAGAAGAUGUAACCAAAGAAAAUAAACAAAAUGACAAUAAUACAUAAAUAACAACAGACUACUAGCAGUUAAUUAACAUGCAAGCUCCAGACUUCAAUUACACUGACUGAAAGAUUACGAUUUCAUCAUAUGAACAUCAGGCACAAUCCUUUCCGUUAGGGGUUGAGUAUCAUACUAUAAUAACAUAUAUGAGAAGAAUAUAACCCGUGUCAUGCCAACAACUGGUUUUUGAAUAAAUGUGUUUAGUUCCGAUGCAAAGACCCUAUAAGUGAAUCAUUAUUAAUUCCAAAAUAUGCAAUUUUUAAUGACCUGAUAACAGUAUCGUAACUAUAUCCCUUCUUAAUAAAUC
RNAcentral lists this long non-coding RNA (799 nucleotides) under Mytilus galloprovincialis (Mediterranean mussel). Lineage: Eukaryota; Metazoa; Mollusca; Bivalvia; Mytilida; Mytilidae. The record is from RNAcentral.